GUCGACGAACUCUGGUAUUGAUUGGUGCUUGCAUCAUGAUUUACAUUUGAGUGAGUGGCGAACUGGUGAGUAACACGUGGGAAACCUGCCCAGAAGCGGGGGAUAACACCUGGAAACAGAUGCUAAUACCGCAUAACAACUUGGACCGCAUGGUCCGAGUUUGAAAGAUGGCUUCGGCUAUCACUUUUGGAUGGUCCCGCGGCGUAUUAGCUAGAUGGUGAGGUAACGGCUCACCAUGGCAAUGAUACGUAGCCGACCUGAGAGGGUAAUCGGCCACAUUGGGACUGAGACACGGCCCAAACUCCUACGGGAGGCAGCAGUAGGGAAUCUUCCACAAUGGACGAAAGUCUGAUGGAGCAACGCCGCGUGAGUGAAGAAGGGUUUCGGCUCGUAAAACUCUGUUGUUAAAGAAGAACAUAUCUGAGAGUAACUGUUCAGGUAUUGACGGUAUUUAACCAGAAAGCCACGGCUAACUACGUGCCAGCAGCCGCGGUAAUACGUAGGUGGCAAGCGUUGUCCGGAUUUAUUGGGCGUAAAGCGAGCGCAGGCGGUUUUUUAAGUCUGAUGUGAAAGCCUUCGGCUCAACCGAAGAAGUGCAUCGGAAACUGGGAAACUUGAGUGCAGAAGAGGACAGUGGAACUCCAUGUGUAGCGGUGAAAUGCGUAGAUAUAUGGAAGAACACCAGUGGCGAAGGCGGCUGUCUGGUCUGUAACUGACGCUGAGGCUCGAAAGUAUGGGUAGCAAACAGGAUUAGAUACCCUGGUAGUCCAUACCGUAAACGAUGAAUGCUAAGUGUUGGAGGGUUUCCGCCCUUCAGUGCUGCAGCUAACGCAUUAAGCAUUCCGCCUGGGGAGUACGGCCGCAAGGCUGAAACUCAAAGGAAUUGACGGGGGCCCGCACAAGCGGUGGAGCAUGUGGUUUAAUUCGAAGCUACGCGAAGAACCUUACCAGGUCUUGACAUACUAUGCAAAUCUAAGAGAUUAGACGUUCCCUUCGGGGACAUGGAUACAGGUGGUGCAUGGUUGUCGUCAGCUCGUGUCGUGAGAUGUUGGGUUAAGUCCCGCAACGAGCGCAACCCUUAUUAUCAGUUGCCAGCAUUAAGUUGGGCACUCUGGUGAGACUGCCGGUGACAAACCGGAGGAAGGUGGGGAUGACGUCAAAUCAUCAUGCCCCUUAUGACCUGGGCUACACACGUGCUACAAUGGAUGGUACAACGAGUUGCGAACUCGCGAGAGUAAGCUAAUCUCUUAAAGCCAUUCUCAGUUCGGAUUGUAGGCUGCAACUCGCCUACAUGAAGUCGGAAUCGCUAGUAAUCGCGGAUCAGCAUGCCGCGGUGAAUACGUUCCCGGGCCUUGUACACACCGCCCGUCACACCAUGAGAGUUUGUAACACCCAAAGUCGGUGGGGUAACCU
This 1413-nucleotide ribosomal RNA is filed under the name Lactiplantibacillus plantarum. RNAcentral's name for it is "bacterial SSU rRNA". It matches the Rfam family "Bacterial small subunit ribosomal RNA". Lineage: Bacteria; Bacillati; Bacillota; Bacilli; Lactobacillales; Lactobacillaceae. The record is from RNAcentral.